This is a long non-coding RNA of Venturia canescens, 4211 nucleotides long. RefSeq lists it as uncharacterized. The transcript is spliced from 2 exons. NCBI's taxonomy places the organism in Eukaryota, Metazoa, Arthropoda, Insecta, Hymenoptera, Ichneumonidae. The record is from RefSeq and is a predicted model, not a curated record.
AAUAAUUUACGAGUAUAGAAUGAACCUUGAAAUCAUAAACUUUGUCGACACCUAUAAACAUGAUGUGAGCUACGAUUUCUUUGGUAAAUUAACCGAGAAAACGUUGAUGUAAUUAGGUAAGAAAUUCAAUACAUCGGAACAGGUUAUGAUAUUAUAUUUUCGUUAUCGUUCAUCAAUCGUCCUCAAAAAUAUCGCCACCGAAUGAAUACAAAUAUGAAAUUUCAAACUUUUACGAAUUUUUAUCUUCUUUAAUACGAAAUCGACUAAAACCAAUUUCCGUAAUGCAAUUUUCGUGUUCACGCAUAAACGCAAUAACGUUCAAAAAAUUGCUUGUGAAUUCGUCUCUUAUUUUAUAUGCUUCACACGCGGUUAUCUUGAGUACGAUUAAGUUCACGAUGUUUCAAAUAAACAGAUUUUGGAGAUUCCUCACGAAGGAUCGAACAAAUUGAGCGUUUGAAAAAAUAUUAAUCAUCAAAUAUAACAAACAGCUGCCUACAAUCGCAGUCCAUUCUAAAAUUGUAUCUGCCGUUGCACAAAUCGAAACAACAAUUUACACGCUUCAAUACCGCGCGGGAAAGAAUUGUCAAUAUUGCACACAGGGCUCAUUGUCGUAGCACACGUCCCUGCGGAUCUGGCGGGUAUCACGUGAAUCUUACGUAAAACACGAAAAGUGCGCAAGCCGAGAGGAAAACUACGACGAGAGGCCUCAGUCAUGCGCGGCUUCGAGCGACUCCGGCGCCACAAGGCGUUUGUUUCGUGUCAUACACAAACGUAUGCAAAUAUCCGUAAACAUCUUGAGCCAACUUUCGAUCAGUAAUUCAUCGAAUAAUGCGAAUGUGAUUUCCCGUUCAAGUCGAACCAGUAAAUUUUUUGUUGACGUUGCCCAUUUUCAGAAAUAAUUGCACUCGAGCCAUUAUUUUGUUGAACGAACUGUCAUGCUACCGAUAUUUUACUCGUGGUUAGAAAUAGAUUUUUUUUUCGUUAUUCUUCGUACGAGUCCCCCGAACUUUUGUAUUUUCUGUAACUAAAAUUCGUUGUUUUUGACGUUUCAUUUGUCAGUCGCUUUACGAUUCUCAUACGACGUUCAGAGGCUUACAGUUGGGUGGGAACUCAUGUUUUGGGCUCCGUUAUCUGCGUUAAUAUUUCGAUUAGAGUUGAAGCUUGCGUCGAUUGUUAUCGAGAAUCACCGAGCGAUGGCGCUGGCCGUGACUUCAGCUCUAAAGUAAAUUUUAUAGCCUGCACGCGGGGGAUAUUCUUUGCUCGAAGGGGACGUAAUGACACAUAAAUUCCUAGAGCGUUCCAAUUGUAGUACGUACUUAAUUAUUUUGCUUCCGUCCCAAUGCUCGGUGUGCGAACGAAGCAGCGUUCUCAUUUUGUUUUCAGUUUCAUGAACGAAGUCAUUUGGCGGAGGUCAUAAAAUGCGGGGCAUCCAGAAACGAGACCUGAAAAUUAUCUCCCCGAUGAGUAUCAGCUGACGAAUGUAUUUCGGGCAGAUAUGGACGGCCCUUGACAGCUUUCGAAGUGCCUGAGUAUUUCGAAAGAUCGAUACUUUUCAAUUUGAUGGAAAGCGACUGAUCAACUCGGCAAAGCUCGUCGUACGAUGUCGCAGCUUCGGAUUCGAGACCCGGCCAACGAGGAAUAAAAAUUUCAAAAUUUUCCACCUCUUUCUACUACGGUUGAGAGACUCGAGACCCCGAGCUCCCAUAAAUCCAUACUCGCAAAUUACCUCACUGUUCUUAACUAUAGUCGGUCUACGACUUUCGUCGUCUUCCGUGAAAGGUUCACGCUACGCGGUCGAUGCUUCCCUGUAACCAGGGUGCACCAGCAGCUGCUUCAUUGCAUCACAGUUGAAAAGCUCCUCACCCGAGUGUCUGUGCUCGCCGUACUCAAAGGUACGAACUGGUCACUCAAAGCAAAACGAAUCACCCAAAUUGAAUAUUUUCGACGCAGAUACAAGCCGGGCGUACAACGAUGGAAAAAGUGGGCUGGCAUUUCUUUAUUCUCCAUUAUCGGAAUCUUUUUUUCGUGAUUCAUGACUCAGAGCAAUAAAGUUAAAUUACUCGUUAGCUAUCAACUUUGGGGCUAAUGAAGGUCUAUACUUUUUUACUCAGAAUUCGAUAUUUUAGAAUAUAAAGCUAUAAAAAAUAUAGCUUUCAUUUGACGAAACAAAGUUGACCUCCAAAUCUUCGAGGCGUCUAUAAAAAAAAUAAAUGCACCAAAAGAACCUUUUAAACCAUGCAACUUUUGUAUAGAACAUUUUUUCGUGGAACGCAUAUAUUUUAGUCGUAAAAAAGGUGCACGCAUGUUGCGUGGACAAAUCUGUAGAAAAGCCCCUUAAAAAACUGGUUUUUUUUUCAUUCCACUAGAAUUUCUUGUGGCCUCAAUCCAGAAAAUUAUUUCCACUUCUACAGUGCUUUUUUAAACUUCUCUAAACUCUUUUUCAUUGGUUAAAUAUUUCCAGCAAAUAACCAAUGAAAUUAUAAGCGGAUUGAGAAUAUUCGUCGAGUGUAUAAUUUUGAUAAAAUUCAUAUAUUUUUCGUACUUUUGAUCCCUGAAAAGUGCGUAUGAAUCAAGAAUUUUUAAGUUUCGUGAAAAAUAUAUGGAGCAGUGAAGUACACGAGCGAAAAUAUCAAGAAAAGGAAAUAGAAAACUUAAGAAAAGUAAAGAGACAGCGAAACAUUUUCUUGCAAUGAUAUUCAGAAACGUACAAAACACUUUCCUGGAAAUACAGCGCGAAGUCGAACGGUUUCCCAAUCAAAAUUGUUAGCAGUUUUGCUCCACGACAGUAAAUUCUUACUUGAAACUGGAGAAUCUUGACUCGAUCGAAAAAGUGUGCGUUUCCAAGUAAAUUCGAAGAAUUCGUAACGUAUCGAGAAGUGCACCGAAAGAAAGCUGUUCUACAGCAUAAAUUCGAGAUUCAAGCAAAUUGGUCCCUCGAAGCUUGAGAGAAUUUUGAAUGAAUGAGAAAUUUAGCGCAGAAAUAUGUGGUCAAGUUCGUUCGGGGAGAGGCACAGCUGUGACUUCAGAAUGACGUAAAUUCCGAAAGCGUUCGUGUGAAGUUUUCGUGCAAUACAAUACACGCCGGUUCUCGAAAAGAAUGAAGCUUUUCGUUUAUGUAAAGGGCAAAGAAAAUUGAAAAGUUGCCAGAUCUUCGUCUAUUUCAGGACGCGUUAGAGAAUUCAAUUUGCCAAUGUUUCAUUCGCUCAAUCUUGCCUAGUGCAGCGCGAGCGAGCUUCAUGCAUCGUAACGUUACAUGUGUCGCAUGCGAGAAAGACGGGACUCUAGGACUUUAUCGAGGGGAAUAUCGCGCUUGGAACGAGGCGAUGCACAACGGGCAUGAAACGAGAAAAUAGACUUUUGUAGGAAACGUACAUAUCUGUAUACGAACGUGACGGUGUAGGGCUUCGAUGGGAAGAGCAGGGUGGAUGGGAGAUGUGUGAUGUGAGGAAUCAAUUUGUCAAAGUGUCCGAUACGUUGAGGAGCAGCGUCGACUCCUCGUAAAUUCGAAGAGACCGUUUUUUCAUACGAAUCCACGUACAGAUAUACUUUAAAAACUGGCAAACCUUCGAUGCUCCGUGGGAGUGCUCGAAGGGAUAAUUUUUCCUUCGUACGCUCGGAGCUCUCGCAUGUUCUUUUUAAAAUUUUGAUUUUCUUUAUGCUCGUUACCACAUCGUUUCACAGGGCUACGGAUUUUACGCUCGACGGACUGAACAAAAAAACGCUCUCGUUCUUUUUUCAUUGCCGCAUGGCAAACUUUGCUUAUCAUAAUAUUCGGCAGUAAUGCAUGCCAGAGAGUUUCCUUUGAUUCUGUGUGUGCUCCAUACAUGUUCGACGUGGCUCCAUGCCUCUUCGUUUAGUUUCCGAGAAAAUUAUUCCAAAAAUCAUGCCAGAGAUAACAGUUUUACAAUCUCUGCUAUCCGAGUACGUGUCUAUGUGCCUGUGGGCACACGUCCAUUUUCUCUCUCACGUUCACCCUCGGCAUUUCAAGUAAAGGUGUUUAAAUUACAAGUUCUAAUAUGUUAAGAAUGCAUUAAGAGUGUUAUUCCAUCGUCAGCUCGAUGGGUGAAAACAUUGAAAAAUCGAAAGACUGAUCCACAGCUCCGUGGGGUCGAUUUUGCAAUAAAGCUCUUUGGCAGUUCGUUUGAUGUGUACUGUCAUGUUACGUGUUUUUAUUAUAAAAUAAAAAUUCACUCGAUUCUUUUUAAAAUUAA